RNAcentral lists this long non-coding RNA (425 nucleotides) under Bos taurus (domestic cattle). RNAcentral's name for it is "long non-coding RNA NONBTAT006339". Lineage: Eukaryota; Metazoa; Chordata; Mammalia; Artiodactyla; Bovidae. The record is from RNAcentral.
GAAAUACUAGGAAUGAACUCUUAAAAAAUUUUCUGGAGUAACUAAAUCACAGAGCUAAAAAAUCUUAGAGUUGGGAGAGUCUCCUGGGCUUUUCACUAAAUAGAGAAAUUUCUUCUGUAACAAGAUCAAACCAGUCUCAAACGUCUAUUUGCCUCUGACAAGAAGGAUGCCAACUGAAUAAAUUGAAAUAUAUAUAUAUGUAUAUGUCUUUUAAGUUAGAAAUUUAUUCUUAAUUUUAGUUUUUCUAGUUGAUGAGUCUCUUGUUCAAAGGCUAGAAUAUUUUCAUUAAUGCAGUUUUACAAUAACUAUUUUUGUCUAGAAUAAAUGUGUAUGUUUGGUUUCUUUUCCUGCAUUUAAAGUGGCUGCUCAUGUCAAAUACGGCCCUAGUGAGAUUUGAACCUUAAGUUUUUAAGAAAAAUGAUUCC